AGUCGUGAGUUUUAGUCGUGAGAUGCUACAGAAAAAUAAAGAAAAUGGCAAAAUAUGCACUAUUUGACUUUCCGGAUGAAGGGGCUGUGGACAUAGGCGAAAUAUCAUGGGUGGUAGGCGAAGUAAAUUUAAAAGAUCCUUUUGUAACGUAUAAAGUUAAUUGGCCAAACAAGGGAAGGAUUGUGUCAUGUCCAGACAGAUUAUAUCAGUCAGUGACAACAGAGAGGAGUUAGUUUGCAAGAGGAGGCAUUAUCUUCAUGGUGGAGACAAACUGUCGAGCCCGGAGUAGAAAGGGAAGGGGAAAAGGAAGAAACUGAAGAAUGGUCGAGAAAGGGAAGGGGAAAAGGAAGAAACUGAAGAAUGGUCGAUAUUCUGACGACGACGACGACGACGUAGUAUCGCUGGUAGGAUCCUCAGUUAAUUCAAUGUGAGAAGAAGAAGAAGAGAAAAAACACAGGUCUUAACGUCUUAAUGGAACUAGAAAAGCAAGGUAUUGGUGCAGUGAUGUACAAAUAUUUACCGUAUGGAAGUGCUUCUUAACAUCAGUGAAUUAUUGUAAUGUGAUGUAGCCUAAUGUUGUCUGUCAUAUUGUACACCAUGGGGUCGCCAACUGGCCUGCUUUGCCUGGCCUGUCAGAUCAUUUUGACUUUUUGCUUUCUGUCAAAAAUUAAGCAUAUUAACAAGAUUAGAUUUGAGUAUUCAUCUCCUGUUCCGCCUGCAUUGUCUACUCGCUCAGGCUCAUCCCCCAUGCUGACCUCUGUUGUACAGUCUUGAUGUAACCCUUAACUCUAUCUUCUGUUUGUCGUAGGAUCAUGUCAGCUGAACUCAAUUAACGAAACCAGGAAUGAAGUAAACUGUCUGCACUUAAUGUUCUACCUACAAUUAAAGUUUUUAUUUCCUAACUCUAUAGUAUAGGGAUAGAUACAGCAAUAUAUUCCUGUAAUCUAUCAGCUGUGAGCUUUGUACCCUCUAACGGGCUUCUGUAGGUAUUUGCCCAGGUGUAUGUCAGUCAGUUUUGUUUUUUUAAUGGAAUUUUUAUUUUCAGUGCCAUCACCCAUCUUGUGAGCUGUUGAGGGAGAACAACCACAGGCUGCAGAGGGAAAAUGAUUCUCUCUAGGCAAAAAUAGCAACAUUGAAAUUGCUGCCAGACGCUUUGCAGAAGAUGGAGGAGUUUCUCCGCUCAGCACCAAGACCAACGACAACACCAAUACCAACACCAAGACCAGAACCAUCACUAUCACCAGCACCAACAGCAGUUCCACCACCAGCAACAGAAGACCCAUCACCAGCUCCAGGUCCAUCAUCAGCAUCAGCAACAGAGGCCCUGGGCCACUCUGUCAUUCCAAAAGGACUUGUGGAGCGCUGCUCCUUCCAAAGCCCCCAGAAGUUCAUAAAUGAUCUCCUACAUGGGAUGUAUACCAGGGAAUAUAUGGCAGGCCAUUCAGUGACUGGCCAGUCAUCCAGCAGCUGCACAGAAGGAAAACCUGGCCUAGCCAAACAGGACCUUGUUGAAAUAACAAAUGCUGCAAAGUUGAAGUUCACCUACGUAACUGAUACGAACAUAAAAGCAUUUAUACGACAAAAGCUGAACAAUGCUGCCAAAUUUCAGAAACAAUAAAUUAUCAACUGUUAAA
Molecule: RNA transcript, 1634 nt
Organism: Gadus morhua (Atlantic cod)
Lineage: Eukaryota; Metazoa; Chordata; Actinopteri; Gadiformes; Gadidae
Gene name: BEN domain-containing protein 6
Exons: 6
Source: RefSeq, a predicted model, not a curated record